This 21-nucleotide microRNA is filed under the name Cordylochernes scorpioides. The record is from RNAcentral. Lineage: Eukaryota; Metazoa; Arthropoda; Arachnida; Pseudoscorpiones; Chernetidae.
GUCAGGUACCUGAAGUAGUGC